RNAcentral lists this ribosomal RNA (300 nucleotides) under uncultured Spirochaeta sp. RNAcentral describes it as "bacterial SSU rRNA". It matches the Rfam family "Bacterial small subunit ribosomal RNA", at positions 497 to 795 of the family's 1533-position model. The record is from RNAcentral. Lineage: Bacteria; Pseudomonadati; Spirochaetota; Spirochaetia; Spirochaetales; Spirochaetaceae.
GCGACGGCGAGCCACGCAGCCGCGUUAAGUCGUAGGGUCCGAGGUUGUGACGGAAUGAUUGGGCGGAAAGGGCUCGUAGGCGGUUAGUCUCUGCGGGAGUGAAAACUCAGGGCUCAUCCCUGAGCGUGCUUCCGAUACGGGCUGACUAGAGGUAUGCAGGGGAGAACGGAAUUCCUGGUGUAGCGGUGGAAUGCGCAGAUAUCAGGAGGAACACCGGUGGCGAAGGCGGUUCUCUGGGCAUUACCUGACGCUGAGGAGCGAAAGCAUGGGGAGCGAACAGGAUUAGAUACCCUUGUAGUC